Gorilla gorilla gorilla (western lowland gorilla) is the source of this 107-nucleotide small nuclear RNA. The record is from Ensembl. Lineage: Eukaryota; Metazoa; Chordata; Mammalia; Primates; Hominidae.
GUGGCUGCGUCAGCAGCACAUAUCCUAAAACUGGAAUGAGGCAGAGGAGAUUAGCAUGGCCCUUGCUCAAGGAUGACAUGGAAAUUCAUGAAGUAUUCUAUAUUUAA